This 489-nucleotide ribosomal RNA is filed under the name uncultured bacterium. Its description in RNAcentral is "partial 16S ribosomal RNA". It matches the Rfam family "Bacterial small subunit ribosomal RNA", at positions 29 to 506 of the family's 1533-position model. The record is from RNAcentral.
AGUGAACGCUGGCGGUAGGCCUAACACAUGCAAGUCGAACGGCAGCACAGGAGAGCUUGCUCUCUGGGUGGCGAGUGGCGGACGGGUGAGGAAUACAUCGGAAUCUGCCCAGUCGUGGGGGAUAACGUAGGGAAACUUACGCUAAUACCGCAUACGACCUUCGGGUGAAAGAGGGGGAUCGCAAGACCUCUCGCGAUUGGAUGAGCCGACGUCGGAUUAGCUAGUUGGCGGGGUAAUGGCCCACCAAGGCGACGAUCCGUAGCUGGUCUGAGAGGAUGAUCAGCCACACUGGAACUGAGACACGGUCCAGACUCCUACGGGAGGCAGCAGUGGGGAAUAUUGGACAGUGGGCGCAAGCCUGAUCCAGCCAUACCGCGUGGGUGAAGAAGGCCUUCGGGUUGUAAAGCCCUUUUGUUGGGAAAGAAAUCUUUCAGGCUAAUACCCUGGGAGGAUGACGGUACCCAAAGAAUAAGCACCGGCUAACUUCGU